Non-coding RNA from Lupinus albus (white lupine), 911 nucleotides. Lineage: Eukaryota; Viridiplantae; Streptophyta; Magnoliopsida; Fabales; Fabaceae. The record is from the annotation of a GenBank genome assembly.
GACCCGAACAGAGACUGGGACGAACAAAGAGAGACGCGAAGCGCAUCGAAGAGCUUCGUUAAGCCCGUUAAUUCUGUACGUAAGAUAAUAUCCCACUGGUCGAUCAAUCAAUAAAAUAAUUCCUAAAAUUGUGGUGGUACCAACAUGGCCAGUUAGCUCAGAAACCCUCUACCCACUAAAAGUAGAGGCGCUUACCCACUCUAAUAGUUCGCCUUACGGCUCACCUUGGAAGUAUGGCUUACCUGAAAAACUUCCACUCCCCUCGUUGACAAUCACCAAUGAACUACGACCACGGCCAAGAUUCUUUCUACCACGACCUCGCGCGGUAACCUGUGUUGCUUUAAAAUAAAAACCGUUAUGGUACUGUUGUCACCAGUCCUCUGGCCUUGGGAAGGCCACCUCCUACAAUAGGUCAUUUAAGGCGAAAAUCCGACGGAUCAACCGUUACGGGACAGAAGCUUUAGCACUCAAUCUGUCUCUGUUGCUGCUUCCCCUAUCAAUGGUCACAUUGAUCAAUCAAUUUACGGGCGGAACCUUCCUUUAAGUCUAUCGAGUGCCUGACUUCUCUAUUGAUCUGACCCUAAACCUAAAAAGGGCUCGAUUGAGAAAGAGAGUAAAGGUGCGAAUCGGCUAAAAGGCUGAGUCCGAGACUGGGAGAAGAACUAGCAAGAAAUGCAGACUUCGCUCCUUUACUCCCUUUAGGUAAAGAUCCCCAUUGUCCAAUCUUCCUUUAAUGGAGAUAUUCUUUUAUGUCACUUCCGGUAAGAAAGGGGAUAGAUUCUCGAAAAAAAGAUGUGCGCUUCUUCUUGAUGCGGCAGACUGCCUCAGAUAGAUUAUAUGGAUGCUGAUCUGUCUCUUUAUUGGACCAAAGAGUGGCUCUCCUUGGUUCUGAGUUCGUUCCGAUGCCUGCC